Molecule: ribosomal RNA, 563 nt
Filed under: uncultured Planctomycetota bacterium
Lineage: Bacteria; Pseudomonadati; Planctomycetota
Description: uncultured planctomycete partial 16S ribosomal RNA
Source: RNAcentral
GCCUUGCGACCAUACUCCCCAGGCGGAACACUUAACGCUUUCGCUACGAGAAAGAAGGCCGAAGCCCCCUUCCUCCAGUGUUCAGUGUUUACGGCUAGGAUUACCGGGGUAUCUAAUCCCGUUCACUCCCCUAGCUUUCGUGCCUCAGCGUCAGAAAAGGCCCAGUGUGCCGCUUUCGCUGCUGGCGUUCCUUCCGAUCUCUACACAUUUCACCGCUCCACCGGAAGUUCCACACACCCCUACCUCACUCAAGUCAUCCAGUAUCACGCGCAGUUUUCCGGUUGAGCCGGAGGAUUUCACACGUGACUUAGAUAACCGCCUACGCACCCUUUAAGCCCAGUGAUUCCGAAUAACGUUCGCACAGUUCGUAUUACCGCGGCUGCUGGCACGAACUUAGCCCGUGCUUCCUCUGAGGCUCUGUCAAAUACAAGAGAUAGCUCUCGUAUACUUCAUCCCCUCUGACAGCGGUUUACAAUCCGAAGACCUUCAUCCCGCACGCGGCGUCGCUCGGUCAGACUUUCGUCCAUUGCCGAAGAUUCUCGACUGCAGCCACCCGUAGGUGU